CGUAUGGCCAGUGGUCCCAUUAACGUCCUUCACUGGGAAAGGAGCCGAUCACUCAUUGCAUCGAAUCAUCACAUCUCUGAGUCUCCUUCAAUCUGAAAUUCUGAACCUUGGAUGGGAAUACCCCAGGAACUAUGCCUCCUCUCAGGUGACACAUGGUUUCUGUGUGUCCCAUUCCUGAUGGCGUUCACUGUAAUCUCGGUUAAGAUGAUGUCGGCCAGUCUUCUCCAUGAUCAAGUUCCUCUUUCUCUUGUGGAAUCUAAGGAAUGGGCAUCACUUCUGAGGUCAUAUGACUCCUGGAAUCCCAGGACAGCUAAGGAAGAGUGAGCACAUGUGAUUGGACAGUUGACCAGUAGAAUUAGGACAUCAGCAAACAUGCCGUCGGCUUCCUGACUACAGAAUGAUGAAAAUACACCUACCAGAGCACCCCCAAGAUGGAGGAGCCUACAGGAUCUCCAAGGAAAUGUGAACCAUCCCUCAAGUCUUUUCACGCAAUCCAAUUGCCCUCCAAAAAUAAAAGCAACACAUGGACUCCCUCAUACAUGAAGAACUCAGGAGCUACCGCAUCAGGGAGCUACUCCUGGAAAACCCAGCUAACCAAACAAUACAUCCUAAAAAGAUCAAGAUGGAAACGCUCUGGAAUAUUAACUCGUGGCAAACAGUGCACAUGUUCAGAGGCAGAGUUGGAACCAAGCAUUUCUGGGAAUUAUCGUUACCAAAUAAAUCAUGGAAACCAUAAAACCUUAAAAUGCACAAAUAAAGCUACUGAAACCUAGUGGGAAGUGAGAGGCAGGGUGGAGGGAGUGGAGAUGCAAUCAUUCCAUCAUCUUUUAUAGUGAAUUAAUAGAAACUGUGAAAAAUUGAAACCUGCAACUAAAACCAAGCAGAGAUUCUAUUAACUGUUUAUCAUCAUUUUCUCCUUAACUUUCUAGGAGGCUUUUAGGAACCAAUUCUUUUUCUCACGGUGAAGAGGCAAAGAAGACCCUGUUUGAAAUUUAUCAGUUAAAUUUAGUGCAUGUUUGAUAAAUUUAUAAUAAGAUCCAAUUUUAUAAAAGUAUUUCUCUCCAUCUGUCUAUUACUAUUCUUGUCUAUCCAUCGUGACAUUUCUAGACUAAUGUUCAACAAAUCUCAUUUUUUUCUUUCAUAAAUGUUUCAUAUUGUUUGCAUUAUCUAUAUAAAGACAUAUAUCUUUUUGGUUUCAAAACACUAAAGUCAUUUUUCCCCAAACUUAGUAAAAAGUAAAAAUCUCCUUCCCUCUCCCAACAACUAACUCCCAUCCUCCCCAGCAAAGAUUUAAUCACUGUCAUCAUUUUCUCAUCUUUCUUCCCAGAAGAAUUUUAAUCUACAGCUGUUCUGUUUACACGAUAGUAUCAUACUAUACAUGUUGGUCUGUAACUUGCUUGUCCCCCAAGGACUAACUUGUCAAUGUUCCAAUUGUUUUCUCUCUGCCUUAACAUGUCAGCUUUCUUAUAUGGAAAGUUCUACAGUCCCGUAGGUAUUUCAGUCUAUUUCUGGCUUAUGGAUUCAGCUCAAUGACUGUCUAUCCAUGCUUCAAUGCAGGGUAUUCUAAUUUUUCUGGAAUAACUAAACAUUUUCAUAUCUGGGAAAGAUGGCCAUCAUCACUCUUCUUUUUCCACAAGCCCCUUAAUCAUUCUCAUACACUAUUUUUCCCAUGUGUGAUUUAACAUCAUGCUGUGAAAUUCCAAAGCAUCCUGGUAGUAGUUUAUUUCAUGUUUCAUGGACUAUAGAACCUAGUUUAGGGUAAUUUCUUUCGUUACAUGCUGGAGUCUCCCAUCCCAAGGAUAAGCUAUGUUAUUUCUUUUACUCUUAGAAAAAGUCCCUCCAUAGAGUUUCUCUCUCAGCAGAGUAAUCUACUUUCCUCCUAAGGGUCCUGCAAUUGUCUUAGAAAUUUCAUCCCUAGAUAUUCAAUUGCUAUUGCUAUUGUAAAUGAGAGUGGUCUCUGUUGUAUUUUCUCAACGUGUGUUUUUCAAGUAAGGAGAAGCUACUGAUUUCUGCAUAUUAAUUUAAAAACCACACAGCUCACUGAAUUCUCCUACCCUUUCUAGUUAUUUCUUCAGUUGAUUAUUCUGUGUUUUUAGCUAUGCAAUUAUAUCAUUGUCAAGCGAUCUGUUAUCUAAUCGCAUUGGCUGGUAUUUCCAAAACAACGUUAAAUAAUAAUAGUGGCCAAAGGCAUUUCACUCUCCCGACUUCAAUUUGAAUGGCUUUAUGUGUCACCGUUAAGCAUGACAAGGAUUUUUUGCUUUGAGAUUUUAAAGCACAUAUGAAAGAACUACAGUGCAUUCUUGUAUAAAAGGAUUAUAAGUUUAGUAUGUAUGCAUGCAAAUUAAUUCCAUUAUAUUCAAUUUUAUGGGAUGAGUUCUUUGCUAUUUAUUGAA
This is a long non-coding RNA of Aethalodelphis obliquidens (Pacific white-sided dolphin), 2393 nucleotides long. RefSeq lists it as uncharacterized. NCBI's taxonomy places the organism in Eukaryota, Metazoa, Chordata, Mammalia, Artiodactyla, Delphinidae. The transcript has 4 exons. The record is from RefSeq and is a predicted model, not a curated record.